This is a non-coding RNA of Carassius auratus (goldfish), 449 nucleotides long. The record is from the annotation of a RefSeq genome assembly. Lineage: Eukaryota; Metazoa; Chordata; Actinopteri; Cypriniformes; Cyprinidae.
CUAUACAGCAAGAAGAAAACACUUCUGGAAAGUUCUUAUUAAAUAUUCUCCCUUUUCACCUUUAAGUGACAAUGGCAAUGUGGGUGAUUAUUACAUUUCUCUUCACUGCUCAUGAGUUUGUGUGCUGGGGACAGGACAAAGUCGAACAAGCUUCAAGACAAAUGACUGCAGAUGAAGCAGCUCAAGUUACUCUGCUGUGCAAUUACUCCACCAGUUUUCCUAACCCUUAUCUCUUCUGGUACAAACAGCUACCAAAAAGAACACCAACAUUCAUUCUGAGUGAAUUUACAGUUGGUAAAGGAAAAAUUGAGGAUGAAUACAAAGACAGAUUUUCUGCAACACUGGACUCCAAAUCAAAAACAGUUCCUCUGAUGAUCAAGAAUCUGCGUGUGUCUGACUCUGCUGUGUACUACUGUGUGUUUGUAAGAGCGUUCAAGAGACUGAAAUAA